GCACACAGAGGCCAGACCAGGGCAGUGCUGUGAGGCCCCAAAGAACCUUCGGUAGGCGACAUGAGUGGGGGACAGAUUCUAACACCUUGAUUCCUCAUGUGUGUGUUUCUGCAGCAUGGAGCAUUGACAGUCUGUGUGGCAGCAUCCACGAUGAAGAUGACACAGACUCGGUGGUGGAGAGCAGCAACAGCCACCAGGACGAGGAGGCUGCAGAAUCUUGCUUUGGGAGGAAAGGAUCUUGCUUCAGGAGCCUGAGGAUAAGUUUGUCCUCUGCGAGCUUGGCUAGACUAAUCCCCUGGUGGCCGCACAACAGGGUGCACCCAGCCACUGAGCCAGAUGAAGCAACGCACGACGAUGUUGUGGAGGCCGGUGGGAGUGAGAAGACCGAGGAGGAGGCCCAGGCUGUGACCAAGGAGGAGGAGGCGGGCCCGGCCCCUGAGAAGGGGGCAGAGGAGGCCGCAGCCGUUGGCGAGGCAGAGGAGGAGGCGGGCCCAGGCAGUGACAAUGACAAGACGUCCCCAGCCAGGGCUGGGGCUGAGCAGGAAGAUGAAUCUGCCCCCAAGGUGGACGGGACGGACGGUGAAAGCUGUGAGUAUUCUGGAACCCUGCUCCGCUGA
RNAcentral lists this long non-coding RNA (617 nucleotides) under Sus scrofa (pig). RNAcentral's name for it is "lncRNA (ENSSSCG00070002001.1)". The record is from RNAcentral. Lineage: Eukaryota; Metazoa; Chordata; Mammalia; Artiodactyla; Suidae.